This 1071-nucleotide ribosomal RNA is filed under the name Psora globifera. Its description in RNAcentral is "partial large subunit ribosomal RNA". The stretch from base 64 to 437 matches the Rfam family "Bacterial large subunit ribosomal RNA", at positions 865 to 1230 of the family's 2925-position model. The record is from RNAcentral. Lineage: Eukaryota; Fungi; Ascomycota; Lecanoromycetes; Lecanorales; Psoraceae.
GUGAUCUCAUACAACAUGUGUCAUACUUAUAGUUAAAUUAAUGAAAGGUAUGAUACUUUUGUGGACAUUGGGGGGUCGUGAAGAUUCUAUCAGUGAGUAUUUGUUCUCGGAAGGGCCAUAUAUGAAUAUUGAAUAAUCGGACAUAGUACGAUAAGGUUGUAUGUCUAAAGGGAAACAGCCCAGAACAAGAGUUAAUAAGGUUCCAAAAUUAUUGUUAAGUGAAAUUAAGGUAGUAUUUAUCCCAAACGGCCAGUAAAUAGGCUUAGAAGCGGCCACUUUUUGAAGAUCUCGUAACAGAGCACUGGUUUUACUUACAUAGACAUCUUGUAUAAAAACAAGGAUAAAAGCACUGAAAAUUUAACGGAUCUAAACAAUAUACCGAUACCUUGUCUAUACAUAUAGAUAUAUGUUAUCUAUAUAGAUAUAUGUAUGGGGUAGCAGAACGUUGGGUAAAUUACUCAGCUCUAGGUCUCUUUGAGGUACUAGAGCAUAUGAAUUUUAACCGGGUUGUAUUAAAAAAUCCCAAGUGAUAAUGCUGACAUGAGUAACGAUAAAGGGAGAAAACUAAUGCUAAUGCGGUAUCCCUUCGCCUUAAGCUUAUGGUAUUUAUUAAAGUCACGGCCUCUAAGUUUUACCAUAUCUUAUUAUUACUAAGUAAGAAUAGACAUUUUGUCUAUGAAUGAAUGUGUUAGUUAAUUAAUAGAUAAAAAAUGUCUAUUGAUUAAUAAGCAAAUACUCAAAAGUAAAAAAUAUAUUUAAAUGGGUAUACAUAGAUAAAAUGAACUAUAAUAAGAUAUAAUCCAAAAGGUAUGAACGAUGAGCAAAUCUAUAGUUUACAGAAUACAACAUAUUAAAUUUAUAUACUAAUUAUAAUAAUUUUUUUUUUGUUGAUUCAUAAAGUUAUAAUUAACGUUAUAAAGUGACAGUUAAAUAUGUUCUGGAAAACUGUAAACAAGUGGUGUGAGCAAUUUCUUAUGGCAUAAACAAACUAAAUAGAUGAUAUAGCUCAUAUUGUUCAACAAUAUGUGUUGCUCUAGCACUACUCAUUACCGUACCUAAAUACUACCACAA